AUGUUCACCUCUUCAGGGACUGCAACGCUCAGACAAAUCUACAGGUCAAGGGAUGCAGCUUUAUAGUCCUUGCUGACAAUCCAUUUUGUCACCAAGCCCCUGACCCAGCUCAUUUGUGUAGGUGUAACGUGUUGUGCACAGGAGUUUACAGAACCACAUCUACUGAGGAUCCCAAAGUGCCUGCUGGAAUCAUGAACUUUGGGCUCUAUAGUAACAAGACUUAGGCAUAGAAAGGUUUCAGAGUCCAGAUGAGUGAAAAUCCACUGAAGCUACAAAGAAACGAGAUGCUGAAGCAUAGUCCAGUACUGAGAUGCACUGAUUUCUACAGGCUUAGGUGUUUAUCCAGAAGAUUAUUGUCAAGUCACGCUGAGGAUUUCCUGCACUGAAAAAGCCAGAUGUGUGGGCCAUACUAUUUUCUAAUAAAGUGGAUCUUUUACCAA
Long non-coding RNA from Pipra filicauda (Wire-tailed manakin), 440 nucleotides. RefSeq lists it as uncharacterized. The transcript is spliced from 4 exons. NCBI's taxonomy places the organism in Eukaryota, Metazoa, Chordata, Aves, Passeriformes, Pipridae. The record is from RefSeq and is a predicted model, not a curated record.